UGAAAAUUUCAGCAAGAAAGAAGCCAUGGAUGAUGGAAAAUUUUAGCUAGUCAAAUUCCUUGCAUCUUGUGUGAGCAACACCGUGUAGCUACGUCUUGACUGACAACUUAUGUGAGCAGACCCAAUUAUGGCUCGAGGGAGAACAUUGAUAUGAGAUAUGAGAUGGUAGUGGUUUUGACCACGUGUUGGUACAUAGUCUGCGAGAUUCCCGCGUAUUCGAUAUCAUUCUAGUGGUUCAACAGGCACAAUUCUAUUACGAGAUGAUAUGAGUUCGAUACGAACUAAUACAGAUUAUCGAAAGCUCGAUUAGGUUGGAAGCUCGUUGGAGAUUUAUCACACUAUCCAAAAAUUAUAUUGGUAGAUUUUGAUAUCUUGGUUAAGGUUAUAAUGACAUGUAUAGGUAUUUUGGCUAAUGUUAGCCUAUGUGUUUUGGUUGUAGAAAUGAUCAUUUGGUUAGUUUGCAUUUUGGCCUUGUGUUAGUAAAAUGAUAUAUAUAUUAUAAGGUGUAUAUAAGUAGCCUUGUAAUGUUUGAUAUAUGACUUGUUAUGAUUCAAUGAUGGUAGAUAGAAAAAUAGAUGAAUGUGCAUAUUAGAUAUGACAUAUAACUUGUUGUAAAUUGGUGUUUUACCAUAAUAAGCAUAUCGUAUUUUGAUACUAAUAA
Molecule: long non-coding RNA, 661 nt
Organism: Gossypium raimondii (Peruvian cotton)
Lineage: Eukaryota; Viridiplantae; Streptophyta; Magnoliopsida; Malvales; Malvaceae
Exons: 3
Source: RefSeq, a predicted model, not a curated record